CAGGCAGAGUGGACAGUGAGAGAGAGACAGAGAGAAAGGUCUUCCUUUUGCCGUUGGUUCACCCUCCAAUGGCCGCCGCGGCCGGCGCGCUGCGGCCGGCGCACCGCGCUGAUCCGAUGGCAGGAGCCAGGAGCCAGGUGCUUUUCCUGGUCUCCCAUGGGGUGCAGGGCCCAAGCACCUGGGCCAUCCUCCACUGCACUCCCUGGCCACAGCAGAGGGCUGGCCUGGAAGAGGGGCAACCGGGACAGAAUCCGGAGCCCCGACCGGGACUAGAACCCGGUGUGCCGGCGCCGCUAGGCGGAGGAUUAGCCUAGUGAGCCGCGGCGCCGGCCAACUAUAAUUAUUUUUUAAAGCUUAUUGUGGUCUGAUGAUAAGUAUUUUUAGUGCAUGUUUUACUGAGCUUCUAUAAAUGCCAUCUCAUAGUUUUGUGUCAAUGGACAGAAACCAAAGUAAAUUUCAAAUAAUAAAGCAA
Molecule: non-coding RNA, 472 nt
Organism: Oryctolagus cuniculus (rabbit)
Lineage: Eukaryota; Metazoa; Chordata; Mammalia; Lagomorpha; Leporidae
Source: RefSeq, a predicted model, not a curated record